Molecule: ribosomal RNA, 279 nt
Filed under: uncultured bacterium
Lineage: Bacteria
Description: partial 16S ribosomal RNA
Rfam family: Bacterial small subunit ribosomal RNA
Source: RNAcentral
UGCCAGCAGCCGCGGUAAUACAGAGGGUGCAAGCGUUAAUCGGAGUUAUUGGGCGUAAAGGGUGCGUAGGCGGAUGUAUAAGUUAGAUGUGAAAGCCCUGGGCUUAACCUGGGAAUUGCAUUUAAAACUGUAUAUCUAGAGUAGAGUAGAGGUAAGCGGAAUUUCCGGUGUAGCGGUGAAAUGCGUAGAUAUCGGAAGGAACACCUGUGGCGAAGGCGGCUUACUGGGCUCAUACUGACGCUGAGACGCGAAAGCGUGGGGAGCAAACAGGAUUAGAUA